GGAGACUGUGGCUCAGUGGCAGAGUGUCUGCUUUUCACACAGAAGGUUCCAGGUUUGAUUCCUCACAUCUCCA
This is a non-coding RNA of Podarcis lilfordi (Lilford's wall lizard), 73 nucleotides long. Lineage: Eukaryota; Metazoa; Chordata; Lepidosauria; Squamata; Lacertidae. The record is from the annotation of a GenBank genome assembly.